Molecule: ribosomal RNA, 272 nt
Filed under: uncultured bacterium
Lineage: Bacteria
Description: partial 16S ribosomal RNA
Rfam family: Bacterial small subunit ribosomal RNA
Source: RNAcentral
GACGAACCGUCCCAAACGUUAUUCGGAAUUACUGGGCUUAAAGGGUGCGUAGGCGGCCUGACAAGUUGGGUGUGAAAUACCUCGGCUCAACCGAGGAAUAGCGCUCAAAACUGUUAGGCUUGAGGAAGAUAGAGGUGAGCGGAACUUAAGGUGGAGCGGUGAAAUGCGUUGAUAUCUUAAGGAACACCCGUGGCGAAAGCGGCUCACUUGAUCUUUUCUGACGCUGAGGCACGAAAGCUAGGGGAGCAAACGGGAUUAGAUACCCUUGUAGU